This 460-nucleotide ribosomal RNA is filed under the name uncultured bacterium. RNAcentral's name for it is "partial 16S ribosomal RNA". It matches the Rfam family "Bacterial small subunit ribosomal RNA", at positions 338 to 795 of the family's 1533-position model. The record is from RNAcentral.
CCUACGGGAGGCAGCAGGGAGGAAGAGGGGGCAAUGGGCGUAAGCCUGAACCAGCCAAGUCGCGUGAGGGAUGAAGGUGCGAUGGAUAGUAAACCUCUUUUAUAAGGGAAUAAAGUGUGGGACGUGUCCUAUUUUGUAUGUACCUUAUGAAUAAGGAUCGGCUAACUCCGUGCCAGCAGCCGCGGUAAUACGGAGGAUCCGAGCGUUAUCCGGAUUUAUUGGGUUUAAAGGGUGCGUAGGCGGCCUUUUAAGUCAGUGGUGAAAGUCUGUGGCUCAACCAUAGAAUUGCCGUUGAAACUGGGGGGCUUGAGUAUGUUUGAGGCAGGCGGAAUGCGUGGUGUAGCGGUGACAUGCUUAGAUAUCACGCAGAACCCCGAUUGCGAAGGCAGCCUGCCAAGCCAUGACUGACGCUGAUGCACGAAAGCGUGGGGAUCAAACAGGAUUAGAUACCCUGGUAGUC